UUGACAUUAAUAAGGCAUUUUAUGAUAGACAUUAUUCUUCUAACUCCUCUCUACAUGCUAAUUGAUUAUUAAUGGCCUUCUUAUUCCGCUCUUACUGUUCCAGCAAUUAGUUUGUGUCACUCUCUGCUAGAGAUUUCUAGCAAUACAUUUUACACUUCCACCCAUUGUGACCAGCAACUUUCCUUUUUUAGAUUAUUUCUGGCAAUGCUCCUGGUAGGCGAUAGAAUGUCUGCACUGUCUGCAAUGUCUGCACUAAAGAUAUCUGCUAGGCUAUGCGCGAUUGAAACAAGGCGAAAAGAUCGACACAACCAAAGACUGUGCGAAGAAUGAGGCAAGGCAGCUUAAGUAAGACCAAAUGUGUGUGUGUGACUGGCAACCCAAAUUCGGUGGGUCAAGCGAAGUUUGCUCAGGAAGCAGGAGUGAAUAUGCAACUUCGUCACCCGCAACCCACUGGAUUUAUUUAAAACAUUGCCUAGCCGCCAUAUAAGUAAAUUGUGGAUUUUAUUCCAAGAGCUUUUCUAUUCAACAUGUUACCAACUCUCUUUGGUAUUCAGAUAUGAUCGUUGCUUGCCGACCUGUUUGAUGCAACUUAUUAGCGAUGAUCAGCUGAGCUCCUGCUGGCAACUUGCGAUAGACGGGCAAUCGCAACGAACAUUUAAAACAAUAACAAACAGUAAAUUGACCAAACUCAAUAUGAAUAAAAAAAACACUAUUGAAUAAACUGA
Drosophila biarmipes is the source of this 725-nucleotide long non-coding RNA. RefSeq lists it as uncharacterized. The record is from RefSeq and is a predicted model, not a curated record. The transcript is spliced from 3 exons. Lineage: Eukaryota; Metazoa; Arthropoda; Insecta; Diptera; Drosophilidae.